Molecule: long non-coding RNA, 1134 nt
Filed under: Gouania willdenowi (blunt-snouted clingfish)
Lineage: Eukaryota; Metazoa; Chordata; Actinopteri; Blenniiformes; Gobiesocidae
Description: lncRNA (ENSGWIG00000010719.1)
Source: RNAcentral
AUGGAGCACGCCAACCAGCUCUCGGUGGAGCUCUUUGGGCAGCUGAUUGGAGUGGCCUACCUUUUCGCCCAGACUGGCCAGGUCCUGGAGGACAUCCCAGAGGACACGGAGGGACCUCAGGACGAGCAGCAGGUGGAUGUGAUUGAGGAGGGGGAAGAGGAGGAAGGCCAGGAUGUUGACGAGGGCUUCCAGGAUCUGAUGUUUUACCUGGAAGGCCUCCUGCAAAAUCCAGUUCCGCAGCCGCCGGCGUCUACGGCUCAGCCACAAACGGAGGAGGUUUAUGUGGGCGAUGAUUGCACUCCCGGCUACCAGCAUGUGGUCGGACUGGCUGAACGUCUGGUCCAGCUGCGCUUGCUCAACUGUGUUUCUCAGAGGCAGGCGGAGGAGAUAGUGCAGUUGUGGCAGAGGCUGCCUGAGCGGGACAAGGCGCCACUCGUUUUUCCACCCAGGUUCAGGGACCAAUUGACGCAUGGCCGGUUUAAAAAGCCAAAGUCCUCCCGUGCACCGACUGAUUCACGGGCUGGGGUGGAGAGCUUGAGGAGAUGUCUCAGCAGUCAGGGGAGCGGACCAGCGCAGAGUCCAGGAGUCAGCCGCCUGGUCGAAACGAUCUGCAUUCUCCUGUGCACGAUCUUUCCCCUGAACCGGACUAUAUCUGGUGUUCGAAUCAGCCGCUGGAGUGACAUCGUGCGUAACUACGGGUUCAUCUGGGAGAACGUGCUAAGUCACCCGAUGCUCUCCACAAAACUCCAGCUGUUUGAGAUCAACCAGAAAACACUGACACAGUGGUUUAACAAGCGGAAGGCGCGUCAGGAGAACGUGGUUCUCUGUGUUGGCCAGAUGGACAGCAUCCCACCGCUGACAGCCUGCAGCACGGAGGAUGGCUGCGCCUUUUCACCACACAGCAAUUGUCCAUGUCCUUACACCACACAUGGCCACCAGUGCUUCCCUUGUUGCCACCGCAACAGCAACCCCAGCAGCAGCAGCAUCAGCACCAUCAGCAUCAGCACCAUCAGCACCAGCUAUAGUGCUGCCUCCGCCACUGCCACCACCAGUGUUUGGACCUCAAACACAGAGGCUACCAAAAACCACUGCGUGGAAGCAGAAACAGUUGGACCUAAAGAAAGAGGAGGCUGA